UGAAUACGAGAUGCUACGGCGUCGAAGCAGUCUAUGUCAUACUUCCAAGAAAAGCUUGCACUGUCAUAAACAAAUAAUGCCUGUACCAUAACCGACACAGGUGGGUAGGUAGAGUAUACUAAGGGGCGCGAGAUAACUCUCUCUAAGGAACUCGGCAAAAUGACUCCGUAACUUCGGGAGAAGGAGUGCCUUAUUUAUAAGGUUGCAAUAACAAGAUCCAAGCAACUGUUUACCAAAAACACAGGUCUCCGCUAAGUCGUAAGACGAUGUAUGGGGGCUGACGCCUGCCCAGUGCCAGAAGGUUAAAGAAGUUGGUUAGCAUCCGCGAAGCUGGUAACUGAAGCCCUGGUGAACGGCGGCCGUAACAAUAACGGUCCUAAGGUAGCGAAAUUCCUUGUCGGGUAAGUUCCGACCCGCACGAAAGGCGUAAUGAUUUGGAUACUGUCUCGGAGAGGGGCUCGGUGAAAUAGACUUGUCUGUGAAGAUGCGGACUACCUGCACCAGGACAGAAAGACCCUAUGAAGCUUUACUGUAACCUGAAAUUGAAAUUGGACUUUACUUGCGCAGUAUAGGUGGGAGGCGUUGAGAAUAUUCUUGCGGGAUUAUUGGAGCCAUCAGUGAGAUACCACUCUUGUAAUGUUAGAUUUCUAACUUUGUAUCAUUAUCUGGUCAAAGAACAGUUUCAGGCGGGCAGUUUGACUGGGGCGGUCGCCUCCUAAACGGUAACGGAGGCGCACAAAGGUUUCCUCUGAACGGGUAGAAAUCGUAUCUAGAGUGUAAAGGCAUAAGGAAGCUUGACUGUGAGACCUACAAGUCGAGCAGGGACGAAAGUCGGUCUUAGUGAUCUGACGGUGCUGAGUGGAAAGGCCGUCACUCAACGGAUAAAAGUUACUCUAGGAUAACAGGCUGAUCUCCCCCAAGAGUUCACAUCGACGGGGAGGUUUGGCACCUCGAUGUCGGCUCAUCGCAUCCUGGGGCGGUAGUACGUCCCAAGGGUUGGGCUGUUCGCCCAUGAAAGCGGUACGCGAGCUGGGUUCAGAACGUCGUGAGACAGUUCGGUCCAUAUCCGGUGUAGGCGUUAGAAUAUUGAGAGGAGCCUUCUUUAGUACGAGAGGACCGAGAAGGACAUACCUCUGGUGUACCAGUUAUCGUGCCAACGGUAAACGCUGGGUAGCUAUGUGUGGAGUGGAUAACCGCUGAAAGCAUCUAAGUGGGAAGCCCACCUCAAGAUAAGUAUUCUCAU
RNAcentral lists this ribosomal RNA (1243 nucleotides) under metagenome. RNAcentral's name for it is "bacterial LSU rRNA". It matches the Rfam family "Bacterial large subunit ribosomal RNA", at positions 1564 to 2817 of the family's 2925-position model. The record is from RNAcentral.